GCUCCUGACUAGCUUAACUGGCAGAGCAUGGCAUUCACAUUGCUAGUGUUAUGUUAGGGGUUCGAUUCCCACCGGGACCA
This is a non-coding RNA of Merluccius polli (Benguela hake), 80 nucleotides long. The record is from the annotation of a GenBank genome assembly. NCBI's taxonomy places the organism in Eukaryota, Metazoa, Chordata, Actinopteri, Gadiformes, Merlucciidae.